This 87-nucleotide small nucleolar RNA is filed under the name Henningerozyma blattae CBS 6284. Its description in RNAcentral is "Tetrapisispora blattae CBS 6284 Small nucleolar RNA snR54". It matches the Rfam family "Small nucleolar RNA snR54". Rfam says of the family: snR54 is a member of the C/D class of snoRNA which contain the C (UGAUGA) and D (CUGA) box motifs. Most of the members of the box C/D family function in directing site-specific 2'-O-methylation of substrate RNAs. The record is from Rfam by way of RNAcentral. Lineage: Eukaryota; Fungi; Ascomycota; Saccharomycetes; Saccharomycetales; Saccharomycetaceae.
UACAAUGAUGAUUUUUUUAAAAUUUAUAACUUUCGUUCUACUGACUAUUGAUCUAACGAUCGUGUAGAGAAAUUUUAUUCCCUGACC